UACUAAGGGGGCGAGCGUUGUUCGGAAUUACUGGGCGUAAAGGGCGCGUAGGCGGUGUGUCAAGUCAGGCGUGAAAGCCCCGGGCUCAACCUGGGAACCGCGCUUGAGACUGGCACGCUCGAGUCCGGGAGAGGAUGGUGGAAUUCCCAGUGUAGAGGUGAAAUUCGUAGAUAUUGGGAAGAACACCGAUGGCGAAGGCAGCCAUCUGGACCGGCACUGACGCUGAGGCGCGAAAGCCAGGGGAGCAAACGGG
Molecule: ribosomal RNA, 253 nt
Filed under: uncultured bacterium
Lineage: Bacteria
Description: partial 16S ribosomal RNA
Rfam family: Bacterial small subunit ribosomal RNA
Source: RNAcentral